GUGGGUGAAGCUCAAGCCAGGUUGAAGCGCUGGGUCGUGGCCCCAGAGGUUGGAAGUUCAAAUCUUCCCACCCACC
Molecule: transfer RNA, 76 nt
Filed under: Candidatus Kerfeldbacteria bacterium RIFCSPLOWO2_01_FULL_48_11
Lineage: Bacteria; Candidatus Kerfeldiibacteriota
Also listed under: 1 other name
Description: tRNA-His
Rfam family: tRNA
About the family: Transfer RNA (tRNA) molecules are approximately 80 nucleotides in length. Their secondary structure includes four short double-helical elements and three loops (D, anti-codon, and T loops).
Source: RNAcentral